CAGCCAGGACUGGGAUGAUGGACACAGCUUCUUAGGCCUCAGAAUGAAAACUUAGCCCCGCCCCCACCCCUACCCCAUACGCUAGGGCCAGAGAGCCCGUCCUGCCCCCAUCUCCUGUCUCCUUGUCUCCUCUAACCCACCCUCCUCCCUACCCUAUCUUGGAGACCUGGAUCAACACCCCUUCGGAAUCACCAGGUGACUUAGACAGAAAAGGAAGGACAGAGGAGAUCUCCACCAGCAAAGCCGGGAGGGGACUGGAAAAGAGGGCUGCAGAGUCAAGCCUCAUUUCUGGAACCUUCUUGGGAAUGCAACUCUGAUCAGCAGGAACCAUGAGCCCAGCAACUCCGGUCCCACCCGACUCCACCCUGGAAAGUCCUUUUGAAGAAAUGGCCCUGGUGAGGGGCGGCUGGC
RNAcentral lists this long non-coding RNA (411 nucleotides) under Rattus norvegicus (Norway rat). Its description in RNAcentral is "long non-coding RNA NONRATT002979". The record is from RNAcentral. Lineage: Eukaryota; Metazoa; Chordata; Mammalia; Rodentia; Muridae.